Molecule: long non-coding RNA, 492 nt
Filed under: Fukomys damarensis (Damara mole-rat)
Lineage: Eukaryota; Metazoa; Chordata; Mammalia; Rodentia; Bathyergidae
Description: lncRNA (ENSFDAG00000024855.1)
Source: RNAcentral
GAGAAUACGCGUCACAUCAGGGUUUUCAUGAGUGUACAUCUGUACUUCGGUUGCUUGCUCUGGCCUCUCCUUCUGUCCCUGCACUCCUCAGACUCACCUUUGGGAAGAAGUAGAAUUUCAGAUGGUGUAACCUUCAUACGGGGGACCCUGGAGGAUGCCGUGUGUCACAGAAAACCCACUGCACUGCCGGCCCUUAGAGAAGAGGCUGAAAAUGCCUGUGCAGCGACCUCAGUGACCAAGGCCACCCAGGGAGCAGCUCGCUGUACUAAUAAAUGUCAGGAAGCGCAUGGUCACACUCUGAGCACCUCUGGAACUGCAGAGGCCAAAGGAUGGAUGGACAGAGAGAAGGGCGUGGACAGGAGUCCACCUGUCCCUGGUGUCUGUUCAGACCAGAGUGCAGAAGGUAAAAUGGGAGAGUGCCACGACCCACACAGCCUAGGGUCCGAGGCUGGGAAGAGCAGCAGGAGAUGAAGAAAAAUGAAGAAACCAAGC